AGACAGCUCUAGCCCUCACCAUGGCCCGCACAUCCUGUAGCCCUGGUCCCUGGGGCCUUCCCUCCCACCCCCUGAUUCUCCCCUUCCUCUCUCUGCUGCAACCACAGACUUCCUCCCUGUUGUUCCUCUCCUACCUCAGGGCGUUUGCAGAUGCUGUGAGCAUUGGAUGUCGGGCGGAGGGCUUUCCCUAAUUUCAAUCUCCCACCAGUCCUAUCAGGUAAAUAGGAGAUCCAUUUUACAGAUGAGGAAACUGAGUCUCAGAGAGCUGAAGUUAAAGACACACAGCUUUUUGUGAAUCCACUGAGUCAGGAUUUGAGCUCAGGCCAUCUGGAAUCUAACACCACUCUCUUUUCUUCAUUCCUUAUGUGACUUGUUUUCAUUUUCAAAACUUUGCUCAACAGUUGCCUUCUCCAGGAAGCCUUCCCUGACUACCCUCUCCAUCCACCCUCCCAUGACCUUCCUGAGUUUCACCUUUGCUGCACUGCUCACACUGUCUCUCAAUUAUCUCCCUUUUUUUCUUCUCAACAGCUUUACUGGGGUGUAACAAACACACGAUAAACUGCGCAUAUUCCAGUGUUCAUGUGGAUGAGUUUGGACAUAUGCACACACUUCCGAAACCACCAGCACAAUCAAGACAGCAGACAUAUCCAUCGCCCCCAAGGGUGUCCUUGUGUCUUUUUGUCAUUCAUCCCUCCCGGCCGCCCCAUCCACACUCCCAUCGCCUGCCGACUGUGGCUGAUCUGCUUUCUGCGGCUGUGGAUUAGUUUGCGUUCUCUACAAUUUUCUGAAGCACCAGUUAGCCCAGAUGCUUCUCAUCUUUGGAGUUGAGCUGCAGGCUGGAGACCUGGAAGGCCCUCGCAGCGCCUGCUCCCAUCCUCUCACCUCACGAAAGCGCAGGAAUGUGGGUUUGGAGCCAAUGAAAAGUACUGGAAUCUGGCUCUGCUCUGUGACCCUGGACAAGUCACUGCCCCUCUCUGGGCUUCAGUUUCCUCCUUGCUCCAUGAGGGCAGGGGAUUUUGUCUGUUUCAUUCACAAUGUGUUCCCAGAGCUCAGCACAGUGUCAGGCACACACUAGGUAACAGCACCUCGACUUCCUACUGAAGAACCCCCUCUUCCCUUUUCUCAGUCCAUGAGGCUGGGGGUGCCCAGAGGCCUCUGUCUCCAGGGGUGGACAUGUGACCGGGUCUUGCUCUAGUGAUUGGUCCAGGGAUGGGCACAUGACUGAGCCUGCCCAAUGAAACUUGAUCUUGGGACUUCAGGGUUGGCCAUGAUUUGUGAAGGAGAUGCCAUUUUCCAUUGGAUGGACAGUGAGCAAGUGAACGCUUAGAGAAGAAGAGGACAAAACAAGGGAAAAGCCUGCCUGACAGGAAGCAGCACAGAGCUGGACAGGCUUUGAACUCCUGGAUCCCACUGUACCUGAAAUUAGGCACCUUCAACUUUCUAGUUAUGUGAGCCACUGUCUUUCCCAUUUUUGGCUGAAAACAGUUGGGACUGGCUUUCUGUCCCUUGCAUACAGAAGGUGCUGACUGACCCCUGCCCCAUGGAAGAAGAUACUCCAGGCAGAGGAAAUAGUGUGUAUAGACACCCCUAAGCGAAUGCCAAGCGGGGCACUCAUGUACCAAGAAGAAGGAGGAGGAGGCACCUGGGAGCUGAGCUUAAGAGUUAGUCGGGUGGUCAAGGUGGGAGAAGGGGGUAUCUUUAGCAGAGGGAACAACCAUUGCAAAAGCUUGGAGGGGUGACUAGUUAGUGAAGAUCAACUGUGUGCUGAGCUCGUGUUGGGUGGCAAGGGACACAGACGAAAAGGGCACGGUGGAACCCAGCUACUUCUCACCUGCUCCAGCGCAGUGCAGGCUUGUCUGCUUUUGGAGCCGAGCCUGGACACCUCCGUGUCCUUCCCCCGGCAGAGUGCUGCCAGCACGCUGUCUCAGACUCUCCAGCAUCUCCUGGUUGAUGUG
RNAcentral lists this long non-coding RNA (1955 nucleotides) under Homo sapiens (human). RNAcentral's name for it is "HSALNT0401669". Lineage: Eukaryota; Metazoa; Chordata; Mammalia; Primates; Hominidae. The record is from RNAcentral.